CGCCUGUUUAUCAAAAACAUAGCCUUCAGCCCACCAAGUAUUGAAGGUGAUGCCUGCCCAGUGACACUACGUUCAACGGCCGCGGUAUCCUAACCGUGCAAAGGUAGCGCAAUCAAUUGUCUCAUAAAUCGAGACUUGUAUGAAUGGCUAAACGAGAUCUCAACUGUCUCUUGCAGAUAAUCAGUGAAACUGAUCUUCCUGUGCAAAAGCAGGAAUAAACACAUAAGACGAGAAGACCCUGUGGAACUUAAAAAUCAGCAGCCACUCUACUAAACUCAAACCUACAAGGCUCACCAAACCCUAAACACAUUGGCCUGCAUUUUUUGGUUGGGGCGACCUUGGAGAAAAACAGAACCUCCAAAAACAAGACCACACCUCUUACUUAAGAGCAACACCUCGACGUACAAACAGUAACCAGACCCAGUACAACUGAGCAAUGAACCAAGCUACCCCAGGGAUAACAGCGCAAUCUCCCCCAAGAGCCCGUAUCAACGGGGAGGUUUACGACCUCGAUGUUGGAUCAGGACAUCCUAAUGGUGCAGCCGCUAUUAAGGGUUCGUUUGUUCAACGAUUAACAGUCCUACGUGAUCUGAGUUCAGACCGG
This 604-nucleotide ribosomal RNA is filed under the name Aerodramus fuciphagus (edible-nest swiftlet). RNAcentral describes it as "partial 16S ribosomal RNA". It matches the Rfam family "Bacterial large subunit ribosomal RNA", at positions 1797 to 2619 of the family's 2925-position model. Lineage: Eukaryota; Metazoa; Chordata; Aves; Apodiformes; Apodidae. The record is from RNAcentral.